RNAcentral lists this ribosomal RNA (472 nucleotides) under uncultured organism. Its description in RNAcentral is "partial 16S ribosomal RNA". It matches the Rfam family "Bacterial small subunit ribosomal RNA", at positions 335 to 798 of the family's 1533-position model. The record is from RNAcentral.
ACUCCUACGGGAGGCAGCAGUGGGGAAUUUUGGACAAUGGGCGAAAGCCUGAUCCAGCAAUGCCGCGUGAGUGAAGAAGGCCUUCGGGUUGUAAAGCUCUUUUGUCAGGGAAGAAACGGUGAAAGCUAAUAUCUUUUGCUAAUGACGGUACCUGAAGAAUAAGCACCGGCUAACUACGUGCCAGCAGCCGCGGUAAUACGUAGGGUGCAAGCGUUAAUCGGAAUUACUGGGCGUAAAGCGUGCGCAGGCGGUUUUGUAAGUCUGAUGUGAAAUCCCCGGGCUCAACCUGGGAAUUGCAUUGGAGACUGCAAGGCUAGAAUCUGGCAGAGGGGGGUAGAAUUCCACGUGUAGCAGUGAAAUGCGUAGAUAUGUGGAGGAACACCGAUGGCGAAGGCAGCCCCCUGGGUCAAGAUUGACGCUCAUGCACGAAAGCGUGGGGAGCAAACAGGAUUAGAAACCCCGGUAGUCCCAU